This 29-nucleotide ribosomal RNA is filed under the name Pestalotiopsis sp. RNAcentral describes it as "partial 18S ribosomal RNA". The record is from RNAcentral. Lineage: Eukaryota; Fungi; Ascomycota; Sordariomycetes; Amphisphaeriales; Sporocadaceae. RNAcentral also lists the same sequence under 1 other name.
CUCGUUGGUGACCNGCGGAGGGAUCAUUA